This 503-nucleotide ribosomal RNA is filed under the name uncultured bacterium. RNAcentral's name for it is "partial 16S ribosomal RNA". It matches the Rfam family "Bacterial small subunit ribosomal RNA", at positions 30 to 523 of the family's 1533-position model. The record is from RNAcentral.
AUUGAACGCUGGCGGCAGGCUUAACACAUGCAAGUCGAGCGGGGUGAUGAUGCUUGCACUAUCACUUAGCGGCGGACGGGUGAGUAAUGCUUAGGAAUCUGCCUAUUAGUGGGGGACAACAUCUCGAAAGGGAUGCUAAUACCGCAUACGUCCUACGGGAGAAAGCAGGGGAUCACUUGUGACCUUGCGCUACUAGAUGAGCCUAAGUCGGAUUAGCUAGUUGGUGGGGUAAAGGCCUACCAAGGCGACGAUCUGUAGCGGGUCUGAGAGGAUGAUCCGCCACGCUGGGACUGAGACACGGCCCAGACUCCUACGGGAGGCAGCAGUGGGGAAUAUUGGACAAUGGGGGGAACCCUGAUCCAGCCAUGCCGCGUGUGUGAAGAAGGCCUUAUGGUUGUAAAGCACUUUAAGCGAGGAGGAGGCUCUUUUGGUUAAUACCCAAGAUGAGUGGACGUUACUCGCAGAAUAAGCACCGGCUAACACUGUGCCAGCAGCCGCGGUAA